UACGGAGGAUGCGAGCGUUAUCCGGAUUUAUUGGGUUUAAAGGGUGCGUAGGCGGAUUAAUAAGUCAGUGGUGAAAUCCUGCAGCUUAACUGUGGAACUGCCAUUGAUACUGUUAGUCUUGAGUAUGGUCAAGGUAGGCGGAAUGUGUAAUGUAGCGGUGAAAUGCUUAGAUAUUACACAGAACACCGAUUGCGAAGGCAGCUUACUAAUCCAUCAUUGACGCUGAGGCUCGAAAGCGUGGGGAGCGAACGGGAUUAGA
This 259-nucleotide ribosomal RNA is filed under the name uncultured prokaryote. Its description in RNAcentral is "partial 16S ribosomal RNA". It matches the Rfam family "Bacterial small subunit ribosomal RNA", at positions 524 to 782 of the family's 1533-position model. The record is from RNAcentral.